Molecule: ribosomal RNA, 253 nt
Filed under: uncultured bacterium
Lineage: Bacteria
Description: partial 16S ribosomal RNA
Rfam family: Bacterial small subunit ribosomal RNA
Source: RNAcentral
GACGGAGGAUGCAAGCGUUAUCCGGAAUGAUUGGGCGUACAGCGUCCGCAGGUGGCAGUUCAAGUCUGCUGUCAAAGACCGGGGCUUAACUUCGGAAAGGCAGUGGAAACUGAACAGCUAGAGUAUGGUAGGGGCAGAGGGAAUUCCUGGUGUAGCGGUGAAAUGCGUAGAGAUCAGGAAGAACAUCGGUGGCGAAGGCGCUCUGCUGGACCAUAACUGACACUCAGGGACGAAAGCUAGGGGAGCGAAUGGG